RNAcentral lists this ribosomal RNA (253 nucleotides) under uncultured bacterium. RNAcentral describes it as "partial 16S ribosomal RNA". It matches the Rfam family "Bacterial small subunit ribosomal RNA", at positions 524 to 776 of the family's 1533-position model. The record is from RNAcentral.
UACGUAGGUCCCGAGCGUUGUCCGGAAUUACUGGGUGUAAAGGGUGCGCAGGCGGUCUUGUGCGUCAGAAGUGAAAUAUCACGGCUUAACCGUGAGGGUGCUUUUGAUACGGCAAGACUUGAGUACGGGAGAGGAUGAUGGAAUUCCUGGUGUAGCAGUGAAAUGCGUAGAUAUCAGGAGGAACACCGGUGGCGAAGGCGGUCAUCUGGCCCGGUACUGACGCUCAGGCACGAAAGUGUGGGUAGCAAACAGG